RNAcentral lists this ribosomal RNA (443 nucleotides) under uncultured bacterium. RNAcentral describes it as "partial 16S ribosomal RNA". It matches the Rfam family "Bacterial small subunit ribosomal RNA", at positions 338 to 795 of the family's 1533-position model. The record is from RNAcentral.
CCUACGGGUGGCAGCAGUGGGGAAUAUUGGACAAUGGGGGGAACCCUGAUCCAGCGACGCCGCGUGAGUGAAGAAGUAUUUCGGUAUGUAAAGCUCUAUCAGCAGGGAAGAAAGAAAUGACGGUACCUGACUAAGAAGCCCCGGCUAACUACGCGCCAGCAGCCGCGGUAAUACGUAGGGGGCAAGCGUUAUCCGGAUUUACUGGGUGUAAAGGGAGCGUAGACGGCGAUGCAAGUCUGAAGUGAAAGGCGGGGGCCCAACCCCCGGACUGCUUUGGAAACUGGAUGGCUGGAGUGCAGGGGAGGUAAGUGGAAUUCCUAGUGUAGCGGUGAAAUGCGUAGAUAUUAGGAGGAACACCAGUGGCGAAGGCGGCUUACUGGACUGUAACUGACGUUGAGGCUCGAAAGCGUGGGGAGCAAACAGGAUUAGAUACCCUUGUAGUC